Long non-coding RNA from Panicum virgatum (switchgrass), 3967 nucleotides. RefSeq lists it as uncharacterized. NCBI's taxonomy places the organism in Eukaryota, Viridiplantae, Streptophyta, Magnoliopsida, Poales, Poaceae. The record is from RefSeq and is a predicted model, not a curated record. The transcript has 13 exons.
AAAAAAAACUCAUCGCUUCCCAUCUCUUUCUCUCGGACUCGCCCGACGCUAGGCGACAAGGCCGACGGCGUGGGGUCGUCGGGCGGCAGCGCGGCGGCCGCUGUCCUUCUCCUUCUCCAUGCCCACUUGCGCCGCCAGCGCGGGCCAGCAGCAUCCCCCACCGGUUGCGCCUCCCAAAUCCCUGCGCCAAUGACCGGCGAUCUGCUGUUGCACGGUGCUGCCGUCGGCAACCUAGGGUUAGGUCUCUCCGUCACCAGGCCAAGUCCUAUCGCACCGGCACGGUUCGGCACGGAGGACGACCUCUCCCGGUGCGGGAUACCUCCCUCCAAUCACAACAUCAGGAGUAGCCACCUCUGCUCGCGGGGUUGCAGAUCUGGUUUUGAUGUUCUUCUGCUGAAAAAAUGAGCGGCUGACCUGGUUGCCAUGGACGAAUUUGGGAGACGAGCACGAGCCAAAGGCAACAUGGUCUUAAAAGAUUGUAUAUGGAGUAUGGACUUGGUCUUCCCUCUUCAGUCUCCCCCGAUUUUCACAGCCCUCAACUGAGUAGUUAGUUAAUGAUUCAGGUUUACCAAUGCAUCCCAUUCCCAUCUAAGGUACAUAGCUUUUGCUAUGCACCUAAUUGUAUCUGCAAAAGCCAAAAAGACUUACAAUUAGAAACAGAGUGAGUACUUCUUUUAUAGAAAGGGUGGAACCUGAAGCUGAACCAGCCCCUGUGAUACCUCGUCAUCCAAAAUCAUACAUAGAGGUCAGUUAUCUAUCUAAAAUGUGAGUAAAAUGGCUGCAAGUGUAAUCCUUACGCUGCUGCAGACUACUGCAUAUAUGAUAUCUGAAGAUGUCUGUGAAGUGUUCAUUUCGUAUAUAGCUCCAUCUCUAUGUAAUUAAAUUAACUUCAGAAACUAGAACUGUUCUUAACUGCCCAUUGAUGCUUGCUACACGAUUUUAGUAGUCCUGUUUAGCAUGAUGUUGGUUCUCAAAGAUUAACUUACCUGAAACAUAUAUUAAUGAUGGCGCUGAUUGUUCACUAGGUGAACACAAGUGAACUCUGUUUUCGAACUGCCAGAGGGCAGCUUGGCCAUAGUCCACCUAUUCCAUUAUAUAGGAAACAAACUUGGGAUACAAGAAGGCUCUCAACCAUUACAGCAUAUUCAAGAUGCAUAAAGAAGAUGCUACUUAUCUUUAGGCUUAGAAACGACUGAAAACAACUUGACAGUAAACAGUAAAUAGCUAAUUAGUUCACUAGAUACAUAGAGCAGCACUAGGCUUAUCUCUCACUGAUAGAUUAAAUUAUUGCAGCGGUAGAGCCUACCGUCUGUAACCGGAAGGUCCUGGGUUCAAGCCCCAGCCUCUACACAUUUGUGUGGGUAAGGCUUGGUUCUUAAAAACAACCCUUCCCCAGACCCCGCACAGUGCGGGAAGCCUACGGCACUGGGUCGCCCUCUUUUUUUUUUUGUAGAUCUAACCAAUGCAGGAUUCAAUUGCCGAUGAAGACUUUGAAUCUGGUGAUGGCACUGAGGAUGAUGAAAUCAGUCCGUCUCCAUUGCCUUAAGAACAUAAAGCUAAAAGAUUCUAUGAUGGGUCCAGCUUAUUGAAAACAAUAUUCAGGCCUAAAAAUGAUGAAUCCAGCUUCCAUGGAAAGAACAAGUAUGGAAAAUCUGCUUCAACAAAAAACGCAAAAUAGGUACCGUUUGUCAGUGAUGUCUCAUUUUUGAGCAUUCAUAACAUCCUAUAUCUAUGUCUGCUCCGGCCUAUAUAUGUAUAUGCACCCCUCUCAAGGACAAGAUGCACAAUAUUUGUGGAUUCUUAGUUCACCUCCCGUUUCUACGGUGUCGUCUGCUCCAUAUGUGACAGCUAGCCUCGUCGACUUCUGGGCAUAGGAAGAAGGUGCUUAGUGGCUUGGACUGUACUGCCCAAGUUUAGAUGCCUCAAACAUAUAAGGGAGAAUUGUUUCUUUGGCCCUGGAAAAAUGUUGCCUUACUUAUUUGGCCUUUUUUUUCCCCCCAAUUUGUGUAUUUGGCCUCAAAACGAAAUCUGAUUGCUUAUUUGGCCUUCCGUCUGUUUUGAGCUUCUAACGGUGUUAAGUGAUAGGUAAAAUGUCCGUUUUACCCCUGGCUGGAAAAGAAUACAAAAAUAGAGUUUUAUUUGUUUAUUAUAUAUUUUGGGUGUAUAAAUAUAUUUCAAGCACAUAUAUUCACUAAAUAUCACAUAUAUAUUUGAAGCACAUAAGCACACGUACAUGCACCAAUGAAGCUGAAAUUUUUACCAUAGAUCAAUCACUACAUGAAUGACCAAUAAUAAAAAAUUCAUAAUAAUUCGAGCAGUACAACUGUAGAUAUGAAUUUAGCACUACAAAGCAUGGCUAAGUAUGUACAACUAAAACUUUAUAUUUACUGCAUAGAUUUACAUGUGGAAGCCAAUAAAAAAUGGACUUGAGCAUUUGUCUCAAGGUAGCAGCACGCUGCACCAAGGUAGCAGCAGCGCCUGCCGGACGGGGACAGGGUGUGCACGCUGCACCAAGGUAGCGGCAGCGCCUCCGGGACAGCAACGAGGACAAGCCGGCGGCACCGGAUUUGCCAUUGCGGCCGGCAGCGAGGGCGCCUCCUCGCCGGCGCAGGCAGCGGCGGCAGCCAUGUCCAUCGGGUCGCCAUUGCCUGUAGAUCGAGGGAGGGGAAGAUGGAGACGAGGAGGAGGUGGCUGCGGCGGAUCUGCUAGUGGGGGCGGCGGCACGGGCUCCAGCUCCCGAGGCUGAAGGGCACUAUUCCUCAAAAAAAAAAGGCUGAAGAGCACUAUGGUCUUUUCGUGUGGGAGUACGAGAUCUAACGGAAUGGGCUCACGGAUCUAACAGAAGGCCAAAUAAGCAAGCAGAUUUCAUUUUGAGGCCAAAUACACAAAUUGGGAAAAAAGAGGCCAAAUAAGUAAGGCAACGUUUUUCCAGGGCCAAAUAAACAAUUCUCCCAACAUAUAAAGCGUAUAAGUCAGAAAGGGAUGGAGCAUGGAGGCGGAAGGAAACUUAUUCAGUCUAGCAGAUUUUGAGGAUGCUUUUUACCAGUACUUUGCAAUCAGGCAUGGACUCUAUGGUACAAUUUUGCAAUUAGCCUGGUACCACAUUGGCCAGAUAGGUUGUUCUCAGAUAUUUAUCAAGAUGAUAGUUUAAACUCUUAGUUGGUAUUGUUGUAGUUGGACCCGAGGUUUUGAAGGCUUGGGCUACAUCUGAAGGAGUCUAGGUAAAAAGUUUUCAGCCAUAACAAGUAUUGGAGCCCUUUUAGCAAGUAGAUGCUUCAUAACACGUAUUGGCCUUUUAAUUCUGAAAUAUGCAGCGGCGCUCUUAUUUCAGCAGGCUUUUGUAUGCUGCAACUUGCUUGAUAUCUGUCCAACUGCUUGCCACAAUCUCUUGAUAUGCUGAAAUCGAGAUAUAUGUCCUGGUAUCUAUCUGCAAGACUAAUGGGCAUUCUCUGCAGGUUUGGUGUUGAUUAAUUUCUUAUAUGUGCACCAGAUUUGGAUGGUGAUAUUUAUUUAACAGAGAUAGCUGUCUGGUAAAGAGGCAAAUAUGUACCUUAUUAGAGGUCAUUGGAUCUCUUGCCUUUGCGCUACUGCUGCUCGAGUCUCUACUGCUAGAGACCCCCACUCUGAGCUAAUUGAUAACACUCUGAACUAAUUGCCAGCAAACCACAUGCCCCAUCGGUUCUCUGCAGGAGCUAUCCAGUCCUUGGUGAAGAUCCAAUCUUGGACAACGUAAUGCUUCCCAAACAAAAGCAGACUUCGGACAAGGGAACAGAUGCCCCAGCGACUGUUGAAAAGCCUUGCUUAUUUACGCUCUUCUUUUGUUGCCAUUUUGUAGCAGACUCUGUUUCUUUCUUUUGUUUCUACUAGGUAAAUGCCCGUGUGUUGCAACGGAAACACAUAAUACCAUUAUAACAUACGUAUAAGCGCAAGAAAUAUGUGAAUGUGAAACAUUAACUUUAAUUAUUUA